RNAcentral lists this ribosomal RNA (484 nucleotides) under uncultured bacterium. RNAcentral describes it as "partial 16S ribosomal RNA". It matches the Rfam family "Bacterial small subunit ribosomal RNA", at positions 30 to 507 of the family's 1533-position model. The record is from RNAcentral.
AUUGAACGCUGGCGGCAGGCCUAACACAUGCAAGUCGAGCGGAUGAAGGGAGCUUGCUCCUGGAUUCAGCGGCGGACGGGUGAGUAAUGCCUAGGAAUCUGCCUGGUAGUGGGGGAUAACGUCCGGAAACGGGCGCUAAUACCGCAUACGUCCUGAGGGAGAAAUUGGGGGAUCUUCGGACCUCACGCUAUCAGAUGAGCCUAGGUCGGAUUAGCUAGUUGGUGGGGUAAAGGCCUACCAAGGCGACGAUCCGUAACUGGUCUGAGAGGAUGAUCAGUCACACUGGAACUGAGACACGGUCCAGACUCCUACGGGAGGCAGCAGUGGGGAAUAUUGGACGAUGGGCGAAAGCCUGAUCCAGCCAUGCCGCGUGUGUGAAGAAGGUCUUCGGAUUGUAAAGCACUUUAAGUUGGGAGGAAGGGCAGUAAGUUAAUACCUUGCUGUUUUGACGUUACCAACAGAAUAAGCACCGGCUAACUUCGUG